CUGCAGCCAGCGGUAAUUUCGGGUCUUGAAGCGGCGUACGGGCGAGUGUGCAACCUGCCUUUUGGGGGAUCCUUUGGAUUAUCCCCUAUAUUUUAAUGGCAUCUUUAAAAUUGAAAACUCCGGUGGAGGUUGAUGGACGCGCAAGAUGAUUGUGAGGAACGGUCACUCUGCGAUCUGGGGGAAGGGUGAUCCCCCCCUGCGACCGACCAACUACGGGAGGCAGCAGUGAGGAAUAUUGGACAAUGGGUGAGAGCCUGAUCCAGCCAUCCCGCGUGAAGGACGACGGCCCUAUGGGUUGUAAACUUCUUUUGUAUAGGGAUAAACCUUUCCACGUGUGGGAAGCUGAAGGUACUAUACGAAUAAGCACCGGCUAACUCCGUGCCAGCAGCCGCGGUAAUACGGAGGGUGCAAGCGUUAUCCGGAUUUAUUGGGUUUAAAGGGUCCGUAGCGGAUCUGUAAGUCAGUGGUGAAAUCUCACAGCUUAACUGUGAAACUGCCAUUGAUACUGCAGGUCUUGAGUGUUAUUGAAGUAGCUGGAAUAAGUAGUGUAGCGGUGAAAUGCAUAGAUAUUACUUAAACACCAUUGCGAAGCAGGUUACUAACAACAACUGACGCUGAUGGACAAAGCGUGGGGAGCGAACAGGAUUAAUACCCUGGUAUCCACGCCGUAAACGAUGCUAACUCGUUUUUGGGCUUUCGGGUUCAAACUAACAAAGUGAUAAUUAGCCACCUGGGGAGUACUUCGCAAAAUGAAACUCAAGGAAUUGACGGGGCCCCACAACGGGAUUAUGUGGUUUAAUUCAUGAAGACUUAGGCUUAUGGAAAUGACGGAAAUAACUUUUCUUUUUUCGGCUGCAUGCCUCGCGUGAGUAGUAUUAACUACCUUGUCUCUCACAUAGGGGAACCCUGUGAA
RNAcentral lists this ribosomal RNA (913 nucleotides) under Pseudomonas sp. BMO1_2F7. Its description in RNAcentral is "bacterial SSU rRNA". It matches the Rfam family "Bacterial small subunit ribosomal RNA", at positions 55 to 1015 of the family's 1533-position model. Lineage: Bacteria; Pseudomonadati; Pseudomonadota; Gammaproteobacteria; Pseudomonadales; Pseudomonadaceae. The record is from RNAcentral.